AUGGGAACGCGAAGAACCUUACCUAGACUUGACAUCUCCUGAAUUACCCUUAAUCGGGGAAGUCGGUACCUUUGGUAUCGACAGGAAGACAGGUGGUGCAUGGUUGUCGUCAGCUCGUGUCGUGAGAUGUUGGGUUAAGUCCCGCAACGAGCGCAACCCUUAUUGUUAGUUGCUACCAUUUAGUUGAGCACUCUAGCGAGACUGCCCGGGUUAACCGGGAGGAAGGUGGGGAUGACGUCAAAUCAUCAUGCCCCUUAUGUCUAGGGCUACACACGUGCUACAAUGGCAAGUACAAAGAGACGCAAGACCGUGAGGUGGAGCAAAUCUCAAAAACUUGUCCCAGUUCGGAUUGUAGGCUGAAACUCGCCUACAUGAAGCCGGAGUUGCUAGUAAUCGCGAAUCAGCAUGUCGCGGUGAAUACGUUCCCGGGUCUUGUACACACCG
Molecule: ribosomal RNA, 444 nt
Filed under: uncultured bacterium
Lineage: Bacteria
Description: bacterial SSU rRNA
Rfam family: Bacterial small subunit ribosomal RNA
Source: RNAcentral